RNAcentral lists this ribosomal RNA (920 nucleotides) under Inocybe acriolens. Its description in RNAcentral is "partial large subunit ribosomal RNA". It matches the Rfam family "Eukaryotic large subunit ribosomal RNA", at positions 34 to 938 of the family's 3401-position model. The record is from RNAcentral. Lineage: Eukaryota; Fungi; Basidiomycota; Agaricomycetes; Agaricales; Inocybaceae.
UUAAGCAUAUCAAUAAGCGGAGGAAAAGAAACUAACAAGGAUUCCCCUAGUAACUGCGAGUGAAGCGGGAAAAGCUCAAAUUUGAAAUCUGGCGGUCUUUGAUCGUCCGAGUUGUAAUCUAGAGAAGUUGUUACCUGUGCAGGACCAUGUACAAGUCUCCUGGAAUGGGGCAUCAUAGAGGGUGAGAAUCCCGUCUUUGACAUGGACUACCUGCAUGUUGUGGUGCGCUCUCAAAGAGUCGAGUUGUUUGGGAAUGCAGCUCAAAAUGGGUGGUAAAUGCCAUCUAAAGCUAAAUAUUGGCGAGAGACCGAUAGCGAACAAGUACCGUGAGGGAAAGAUGAAAAGAACUUUGGAAAGAGAGUUAAACAGUACGUGAAAUUGCUGAAAGGGAAACGCUUGAAGUCAGUCACAUUGGCCAGAAAUCAGCCUUGCUUCUGUGAGGUGUACUUUCUGUUUGAUGGGUCAGCAUCAGUUUUGAUCACUGGAUAAAGUCUCUGGGAAUGUGGCAUCUUUGGAUGUGUUAUAGCCCAUUUUCACAUGCAGUGGUUGGGAUUGAGGAACUCAGCACGCCGAAAGGCCAGGUUUCGACCAUGUUCGUGCUUAGGAUGCUGGCAUAAUGGCUUUAAUCGACCCGUCUUGAAACACGGACCAAGGAGUCUAACAUGCCUGCGAGUGUUUGGGUGGAAAACCCAUGCGCGCAAUGAAAGUGAAAGUUGAGAUCCCUCUUAGUAGGUGAGCAUCGACGCCCGGACCAGACCUUUUGUGACGGAUCCGCGGUAGAGCAUGCAUGUUGGGACCCGAAAGAUGGUGAACUAUGCCUGAAUAGGGUGAAGCCAGAGGAAACUCUGGUGGAGGCUCGUAGCGAUUCUGACGUGCAAAUCGAUCGUCAAAUUUGGGUAUAGGGGCGAAAGACUAAUCGA